This 686-nucleotide long non-coding RNA is filed under the name Homo sapiens (human). RNAcentral describes it as "long non-coding RNA NONHSAT194839.1". The record is from RNAcentral. Lineage: Eukaryota; Metazoa; Chordata; Mammalia; Primates; Hominidae.
GGAGCCUGCGAAAUGAGAGAGAAUGGUGAUCACAGGAAGGAAAAGGGCGGAAAAACUCAACAGGCUCUGGAAGCUUUCCGCCAGAGAGGAUCUUGGAGAUUAUGAAGAAAGACAAAAAGAAAGUGUUGGUGAUUGACUUCAUCUGAAGCAGAGGUGGAUGUUAAUGCUAUUAACUGAUUUGACAUGUUGAAUUUGAGAUGUUAGACAUCGAAGUGAAUGGGUACUCUGAAAGAGCAUCAAGAAAAUCUGACUGAAAAAAGAUUGACUGAGAUGGGCGCUGGAGUAUAAGCCAGAGUUUCACAGGAAAGGGGUGCAGACCCAGACCUCAAGAAAGGGCUCUUGGAUCUCGUGUAAGAAGGAAUUCAGGGCGAGUCCAUAGAGUAAAGUGAAAGCAAGUUCAUUAGGAUACUAGAGUUCAAACAAGGUAUGGGGCCGCCCAGCUGGAGACUCCAUUUUCCAGACUCCUUUGCAGCUGUCUCUGGAAUGUGACCUAGUUAUCACCAAGGGAAUAUGAAUGGAAAUGAUAAGCGCAAUUUCUGCUUCAUCGGUUUAAAAGCAAAUUGCUUGCCCUCAACAUCUGUUCUUUUCCCCUGCUGUAAGCCAGAACAUGCACAUGCUUGCAAUUCAACUUUUGAUCAUGCAGAUGAAAACAUUUGCUAAGAAAUUAAAGAUCUUUUAAAACGACC